GAUGAACGCUGGCGGCGUGCCUAAUACAUGCAAGUCGAGCGAACGGACGAGAAGCUUGCUUCUCUGAUGUUAGCGGCGGACGGGUGAGUAACACGUGGAUAACCUACCUAUAAGACUGGGAUAACUUCGGGAAACCGGAGCUAAUACCGGAUAAUAUUGUGAACCGCAGGGUUCAAAAGUGAAAGACGGUCUUGCGGUCACUUAUAGAUGGAUCCGCGCUGCAUUAGCUAGUUGGUAAGGUAACGGCUUACCAAGGCAACGAUGCAUAGCCGACCUGAGAGGGUGAUCGGCCACACUGGGACUGAGACACGGUCCAGACUCCUACGGGAGGCAGCAGUAGGGAAUCUUCCGCAAUGGGCGAAAGCCUGACGGAGCAACGCCGCGUGAAUGAUGAAGGUCUUCGGAUCGUAAAACUCUGUUAUUAGGGAAGAACAUAUGUGUAAGUAACUGUGCACAUCUUGACGGUACCUAAUCAGAAAGCAACGGCUAACUACGUG
This 497-nucleotide ribosomal RNA is filed under the name uncultured bacterium. RNAcentral's name for it is "partial 16S ribosomal RNA". It matches the Rfam family "Bacterial small subunit ribosomal RNA", at positions 28 to 507 of the family's 1533-position model. The record is from RNAcentral.